UACAGAGGGUGCAAGCGUUGUUCGGAAUUAUUGGGCGUAAAGGGCGCGUAGGCGGUGCCACAAGUCACCUGUGAAAUCUCCGGGCUUAACUCGGAGCCUGCAGGCGAAACUGUGGUGCUGGAGUGUGGGAGAGGUGCGUGGAAUUCCUGGUGUAGCGGUGAAAUGCGUAGAUGUCGGGAGGAACACCUGUGGCGAAAGCGGCGCACUGGACCAUAACUGACGCUGAUGCGCGAAAGCGAGGGGAGCAAACAGG
RNAcentral lists this ribosomal RNA (253 nucleotides) under uncultured bacterium. RNAcentral describes it as "partial 16S ribosomal RNA". It matches the Rfam family "Bacterial small subunit ribosomal RNA", at positions 524 to 776 of the family's 1533-position model. The record is from RNAcentral.